CGCAAGGGGGAGCCAAUCUCAUCAAAGCCAGUCUUAGUUCGGAUUGGGGGCUGAAAUUCGACCCCAUGAAGCUGGAAUCGCUAGUAACCGCAAAUCAGCUAUGUUGCGGUGAAUAUGUUCCUGGGUCUUGUACUCACCGCCCGUCACAUCAUGAAAGGUGGGAGUGCCCGAAGUCGCAUUAGUCCUUCGGGACGGGUGCCUAAGGUAAAUCCACUGAUUGGGAUGAAGUCGUAACAAGGUAUCCGUAGGAGAACCUGCGGAUGGAUCACCUCCUUU
RNAcentral lists this ribosomal RNA (276 nucleotides) under Patescibacteria group bacterium. Its description in RNAcentral is "partial 16S ribosomal RNA". It matches the Rfam family "Bacterial small subunit ribosomal RNA", at positions 1256 to 1533 of the family's 1533-position model. The record is from RNAcentral.